AACGCGAAGAACCUUACCUACUCUUGACAUCCAGAGAACUUUCCAGAGAUGGAUUGGUGCCUUCGGGAACUCUGAGACAGGUGCUGCAUGGCUGUCGUCAGCUCGUGUUGUGAAAUGUUGGGUUAAGUCCCGCAACGAGCGCAACCCUUAUCCUUUGUUGCCAGCGGUCCGGCCGGGAACUCAAAGGAGACUGCCAGUGAUAAACUGGAGGAAGGUGGGGAUGACGUCAAAUCAUCAUGCCCCUUAUGUCUUGGGCUUCACGCAUGCUACAAUGGCCGGUACAAAGGGCUGCAAUACCGUGAGGUGGAGCGAAUCCCAAAAAGCCGGUCCCAGUUCGGAUUGAGGUCUGCAACUCGACCUCAUGAAGUCGGAGUCGCUAGUAAUCGCAGAUCAGCAACGCUGCGGUGAAUACGUUCCCGGGUCUUGUACACACCG
This 435-nucleotide ribosomal RNA is filed under the name bacterium B31. RNAcentral describes it as "bacterial SSU rRNA". It matches the Rfam family "Bacterial small subunit ribosomal RNA", at positions 958 to 1392 of the family's 1533-position model. The record is from RNAcentral.